GACGAACGCUGGCGGCGUGCUUAACACAUGCAAGUCGAGCGGUAAGGCCCUUUCGGGGGUACACGAGCGGCGAACGGGUGAGUAACACGUGGGUGACCUGCCCUCAGCUCUGGGAUAAGCCUGGGAAACCGGGUCUAAUACCGGAUAUGACUCCAUGACGCAUGUUGGUGGGGUGGAAAGCCUUGUGCGGCUGAGGAUGGGCCCGCGGCCUAUCAGCUUGUUGGUGGGGUGAUGGCCUACCAAGGCG
RNAcentral lists this ribosomal RNA (247 nucleotides) under uncultured bacterium. RNAcentral describes it as "partial 16S ribosomal RNA". It matches the Rfam family "Bacterial small subunit ribosomal RNA", at positions 28 to 275 of the family's 1533-position model. The record is from RNAcentral.